RNAcentral lists this ribosomal RNA (381 nucleotides) under uncultured eukaryote. Its description in RNAcentral is "partial 18S ribosomal RNA". It matches the Rfam family "Eukaryotic small subunit ribosomal RNA", at positions 592 to 976 of the family's 1831-position model. The record is from RNAcentral.
CAAUAGCGUAUAUUAAAGUUGUUGCGGUAAAAAAGCUCGUAGUUGGAUUUCUACCGAAGAUAGCCGGUCGGGUCUUCGACCUUGUAUCUGGUUUUGUCUUUGGUAUCCUCAUAGGGAACGUUUCUGCGCUUUAUUGCGUGGUGCGGUAUCUAUGACUUUUACUUUGAGGAAAUUAGAGUGUUCACGGCAGGCAAACGCCUUGAAUAUAUUAGCAUGGAAUAAUAACAUAGGAUCUUCAUCCUAUUUUGUUGGUUUCUAGGGCUAAGAUAAUGAUUAAUAGGGAUAAUUGGGGGCAUCUGUAUCAACGCGUCAGAGGUGGAAUUCUUGGAUUGCGUUGCGACAAACUACUGCGAAAGCAUUUGCCAAGGAUGUUUUCAUUGA